GACGAACGCUGGCGGCGUGCUUAACACAUGCAAGUCGAACGGAAAGGCCCUGCUUUUGUGGGGUGCUCGAGUGGCGAACGGGUGAGUAACACGUGAGUAACCUGCCCUUGACUUUGGGAUAACUUCAGGAAACUGGGGCUAAUACCGGAUAGGAGCUCCUGCUGCAUGGUGGGGGUUGGAAAGUUUCGGCGGUUGGGGAUGGACUCGCGGCUUAUCAGCCUGUUGGUGGGGUAGUGGCUUACCAAGGCUUUGACGGGUAGCCGGCCUGAGAGGGUGACCGGCCACAUUGGGACUGAGAUACGGCCCAGACUCCUACGGGAGGCAGCAGUGGGGAAUAUUGCACAAUGGGCGGAAGCCUGAUGCAGCAACGCCGCGUGCGGGAUGACGGCCUUCGGGUGGUAAACCGCUUUCGCCUGUGACGAAGCGUGAGUGACGGUAAUGGGUAAAGAAGCACCGGCUAACUACGU
This 467-nucleotide ribosomal RNA is filed under the name uncultured bacterium. Its description in RNAcentral is "partial 16S ribosomal RNA". It matches the Rfam family "Bacterial small subunit ribosomal RNA", at positions 28 to 506 of the family's 1533-position model. The record is from RNAcentral.